AGUGAACGUUGGCGGCGUGGAUUAGGCAUGCAAGUCGAGCGAGAACCGUAGCAAUACGGGGACAGCGGCGAACGGGACAGUAAUGUGUAGGUACCUACCCCUGGGUCCGGGAUAGCUGCGGGAAACUGCAGGUAAUACCGGAUAACGUCUGAGGACCAAAGGUGUGAUUCACCUGGGGAGGGGCCUGCAUCCUAUUAGCUUGUUGGUGGGGUAACGGCUCACCAAGGCAACGAUGGGUAGCGGGUGUGAGAGCACGACCCGCGUCAUUGGGACUGAGAUACUGCCCAGACACCUACGGGUGGCUGCAGUCGAGGAUCUUCGGCAAUGGGCGCAAGCCUGACCGAGCGACGCCGCGUGCGGGAUGAAGGCCUUCGGGUUGUAAACCGCUGUCGUAGAGGAGGAAAUGCAGGGGGGUUCUCCCCUUUGCUUGACCUAUUCUAGGAGGAAGUACGGGCUAAGUUCGUGCCAGCCGCCGCGGUAA
This 481-nucleotide ribosomal RNA is filed under the name uncultured bacterium. RNAcentral's name for it is "partial 16S ribosomal RNA". It matches the Rfam family "Bacterial small subunit ribosomal RNA", at positions 28 to 523 of the family's 1533-position model. The record is from RNAcentral.